CAUCUCUGAUCCAGACAACACACACACACACACACACAAAGAGGAGUUAGAUCACACACUUUACAGUGGGACACAAACACAACGCAACACAAUACGUGCUUCUCUGAGCUGGUUUCAUACGAGUCAGGAAACGCCAGCGAGUGCACUUUACACCCACAUACUUCCAGGAUGAAGAGAUGCAUGCACACAGCGACACAAUACAACUGAAGCUGUGGCGUCUCGUUCUACUUCAGAGACACAAUACUGAUGUAGAUAUAUACUAGUGUGCUUUCUCUCGUCUCCCAAACGGGCGAUCACAGACAUUACUCACUCUUCUGCCAACGACGGAGUCCACGGUUUAUUCGGCGGUCUUGCUGGUCCUGAUCAAACACAAAUAUAUCAAACAUUGUGGCUCCGUUGGUCUUUUGGGAAGAACGAGAGGGGCUUUUUUCCGGAAGUGCUCCAGGUUUACGGACGGAGGCCGCUUGGGUUUGGCGGGUCGAGGCCCGACGUGGGGAAGCGGCUUCCUCAGCGGCACCACCUCGGAGACGCUGCGCUGGCCCGGCAGAGGCGGUCUGACAGCGGAGGGAGAACACACUUUCAUGUCGCUCUGCUGUCUCAGGAUCUUGCUCUGAAGAAGCUCUCCUGUCAGCCGGACUCGGCUCGGCGAGCUGCCCUCCACGGGGCCCGGUCUGGGGCCGUCCUGGGCUCCGGAGCGAUGAGCCGGAGGAGGUCUUGGAAACACACCCUGAGGGCCCGAGUGAAGCAUCUUUGGUUCACUCGAAGAGUUCAGAGGCACGAUCGCUCGGGGAGGCACAGCUGAAGGCUUGUUUCGGAGCACUCCAUUGGUUAAAGGCUCGUGAGGUCUGACGCCGGAAACUCCUCCUCCGGAUCCGGACGCCUCCAACUGAGCAUGAAACUUGGCCCGGAGGGCUUUGACAUCCACAUUUUCUUCCUGUUAAGAAAAUGUAAUUAUAAAACAAUUCAAGUUCCCUUUUGACUUACAGACG
Molecule: non-coding RNA, 989 nt
Organism: Pimephales promelas (fathead minnow)
Lineage: Eukaryota; Metazoa; Chordata; Actinopteri; Cypriniformes; Leuciscidae
Source: RefSeq, a predicted model, not a curated record